UACGUAGGUGACCAGCGUUGUCCGGAUUCAUUGGGCGUAAAGGGUGCGUAGGCGGCGCGGUAAGUCGGGUGUGAAAUCUCGGAGCUUAACUCCGAAACUGCAUUCGAUACUGCCGUGCUUGAGGACUGGAGAGGAGACUGGAAUUUACGGUGUAGCGGUGAAAUGCGUAGAUAUCGUAAGGAAGACCAGUGGCGAAGGCGGGUCUCUGGACAGUUCCUGACGCUGAGGCACGAAGGCCAGGGGAGCAAACGGG
RNAcentral lists this ribosomal RNA (253 nucleotides) under uncultured bacterium. RNAcentral's name for it is "partial 16S ribosomal RNA". It matches the Rfam family "Bacterial small subunit ribosomal RNA", at positions 524 to 776 of the family's 1533-position model. The record is from RNAcentral.